This 816-nucleotide ribosomal RNA is filed under the name uncultured bacterium. Its description in RNAcentral is "partial 16S ribosomal RNA". It matches the Rfam family "Bacterial small subunit ribosomal RNA", at positions 1 to 805 of the family's 1533-position model. The record is from RNAcentral.
GGCCGCGGGAAUUCGAUUAGAGUUUGAUUAUGGCUCAGGACGAUUGCUGGCGGCGUGCUUAACACAUGCAAGUCGAACGAAGCACUUAAGAAAGAUUCUUCGGAUGAAAGCUUUUGUGACUGAGUGGCGGACGGGUGAGUAACGCGUGGGUAACCUGCCUCACACAGGGGAAUAACAGUUGGAAACGACCGCUAAUACCGCAUAACCCGCUGGUACCGCAUGGUACUGACGGAAAAGAUUUAUCGGUGUGAGAUGGACCCGCGUCUGAUUAGCCAGUUGGCAGGGUAACGGCCUACCAAAGCGACGAUCAGUAGCCGGCCUGAGAGGGUGAACGGCCACAUUGGGACUGAGACACGGCCCAAACUCCUACGGGAGGCAGCAGUGGGGAAUAUUGCACAAUGGGGGAAACCCUGAUGCAGCGACGCCGCGUGAGUGAAGAAGUAUUUCGGUAUGUAAAGCUCUAUCAGCAGGGAAGAAAAUGACGGUACCUGACUAAGAAGCCCCGGCUAACUACGUGCCAGCAGCCGCGGUAAUACGUAGGGGGCAAGCGUUAUCCGGAUUUACUGGGUGUAAAGGGAGCGUAGACGGCGGAGCAAGUCAGAAGUGAAAACCCGGGGCUCAACCCUGGGAGUGCUUUUGAAACUGUUUGGCUGGAGUGCANGAGAGGUAAGCGGAAUUCCUAGUGUAACGGUGAAAUGCGUGGAUAUUAGGAGGAACACCAGUGCCGAAGGCGGCCUACUGGACUGUACCUGACCUUGAGGCUCGAAAGCGGUGGGGAGCAAACAGGAUUAAAUCCCUUGGUUAUCCAGGCCGUCC